CGGACGGGUGAGUAAUGUAUGGGGAUCUGCCUGAUGGCGGGGGAUAACUACUGGAAACGGUAGCUAAUACCGCAUAAUGUCUGCGGACCAAAGCGGGGGACCUCCGGGCCUCGCGCCAUCAGAUGAACCCAUAUGGGAUUAGCUUGUAGGUAAGGUAACGGCUUACCUAGGCGACGAUCCCUAGCUGGUCUGAGAGGAUGACCAGCCACACUGGGACUGAGACACGGCCCAG
This 232-nucleotide ribosomal RNA is filed under the name uncultured bacterium. Its description in RNAcentral is "partial 16S ribosomal RNA". It matches the Rfam family "Bacterial small subunit ribosomal RNA", at positions 99 to 334 of the family's 1533-position model. The record is from RNAcentral.